This 29-nucleotide non-coding RNA is filed under the name Homo sapiens (human). Lineage: Eukaryota; Metazoa; Chordata; Mammalia; Primates; Hominidae. The record is from RNAcentral.
AGGCUCUCAGUGUGCUAGGACUCUUGCCU